GAGAACGGUAGAAGGUGGAGAGGGAGCGAGAGGCCGCCGAAAGCGCAUAGCGGCCCAUAAUUCGGUGCGCCGCCCCGCAAUCAGGUUCGUGCCUCGAUGUUUCUAACCGCCUUGCUCGUCGUCGUCGUCGUCGUCGUCGUCGUCGCAGCCGGGAGAGAGAAACGGUAGUGCACACGUUUUUACGUUUGCUCGGCCAACAGGAGCACUCUCUUGACAGACGAGUGUGUUGUAUACGGGUCGGUCCUACGGGUCAUAUCGAAGCGCGUACCGCGUGGUUUUCGCUUCUCGGGUAUAUACGCGACUCUUCUCUUUUAUUCCGUGUGUACAUCUCGAUCUCCUCGCUGCCUCGUCGCACGCGCGCGUCUGGUGUCUCGUUUGUUGUUUAUAUCGUCGGGGGCAGCUGGGCUGACAGGCCAAAAACCCUCCACCACUUACCGGAAGGACAGUGGCAUUUGUGUGCCCGACACGACGAACCUGGACUCGAGUGUGAGGAAUAAUCCUGCGAAAAAAAAAAAAAAAAAAAUCAAGAAACGGAAAUUACAUACGGAACGAGCAAGAAGAAGGGAAAACGCGGUGCCUACUCGUUUCAGAGACCAAGAGAGAGACCGCGCGGCCGCGUCUCCUCUUGCCAACCACCAUUCAGUCAAGCCGAUCAUUCAGUCAGUGCCGGUUCGCUACGCAACUACGGACGUUCUCUUUGUUUACUGCUAGUAUACACACGUCUGCACACCGGUUUUUCUUCAACGAGUAGAGAUUCGUCAUUUCAACGGAUAUACCAAUGAUACCUGGCUGGACAGAGACUGAGGCGGCUGAAUAAAAGGAAGGAGAUUGAGAGUGGUCCAGAGAACAAGGAGCGAACAGGAGGAGGCGAGAUCGACAGUGGAAACAGGUAGAGGAGGGGCAUGAUAAGCACGGACACACGUGUACCACGAAAAUCAGUUGACCUGGUGGACAGUUGUCUGACGUCGGGCGUCCAGGGACAACGUAUGUCGGAAUGACGCGUCUAUCAGGCAAUGGCAGGGCAGAGGGUGCAAGGACUUCGUUAAACGGGCGAAAGUGAUACACGGUCGUGGUUUGUGUUGGUGGAGUGGUGGAAGAAGGUGACGGGGAGAAACGGAAGAAAGAAGCGUUUCGGGAUCGUGGAAUUUUCAUUGGAACCGAUCACGGUCUCAUUGUCUCACCAUACUCCGUAAACGGCGGAUAACGUCCUCUCGUCGCUAUCACGAUGUCGUUAUUAUGAGAUCCACGCUAGGCACAAAGUUUCCUUACACUUGACAUCGAUCGAAAUCGUUCGACAUCAUCGUCAUCGCAACAGACACGAACGAAACAUUCGAGAUCGACAUUCUAGAGGACCAAAAAGACGAAAGAUCGAAGAACCAGCAGGGCAUAAUCAGAUUCUUAGACAACCGAGCAACAAAUUGACUACCAAAGAAUUUUAUUGGCAGAUAAUCACAGGAGAUCACAAGGUCUGUUUAACAAAGCCACAACGAUCGAAGGAAAACCAUCUAGUGACAGAAAAGCGACCUCGUUCAGGAAGACAUCAUUCAAUCCAGGCAAUUGUGGUCGUUUCAGCGAGAAGUAAAUUGCCCGUGGACGUGGUCCAGGCCAAGUGGACGGGGGUAGCGCACCGUGGGUCGAUAAAAAGGAUAGAGGGGUGCGUGGUGGAACGCGACGAAAGGUGAAGUGAA
Long non-coding RNA from Dufourea novaeangliae, 1688 nucleotides. RefSeq lists it as uncharacterized. The transcript has 3 exons. The record is from RefSeq and is a predicted model, not a curated record. Lineage: Eukaryota; Metazoa; Arthropoda; Insecta; Hymenoptera; Halictidae.